GUGGAUCAAGAGGAGCCUCAGUGAGAUCUGAUGUAGAUCAUGAGUUUCUUGAUUUCCAGCUCAGUGUCAGAAUUGGAUAAGAUUUUUGGAGUGUCUUUGAGAUGGAUGGCCACGAGAAAAACAUGACACGGACCCAGGAGGAUAACAGUUAUGCAGAGCUGCCCUGGGUGACCGGAAGACCUGUAGCCUGAAGCAAAGCCACCCCCACUGACCCUCAGGCAUAGGUUUCAGUGAAAGAAAAGUCCAAAGAACAAGAUGUGGUCAGCAUCUCCAUUUCCUCGCGUGGAUGCUCCAUUCAGAGACACAGCGAACUCUUCCUUCCUGCCACCCUCCGCCUUUCAGCACUGUCUCCACAGCUGAGAUCCGUGGAAGCCUACAUCUGCACACCUAGGUUCCCAUCUGUCUGUAACAAGAAAGAAAUAAUUACUGGAAAAAUAA
Molecule: long non-coding RNA, 438 nt
Organism: Physeter macrocephalus (sperm whale)
Lineage: Eukaryota; Metazoa; Chordata; Mammalia; Artiodactyla; Physeteridae
Exons: 3
Source: RefSeq, a predicted model, not a curated record